CCUACGGGUGGCAGCAGUAGGGAAUAUUGCUCAAUGGGGGAAACCCUGAAGCAGCAAAGCCGCGUGGAGGAUGAAGGCUUUCGGAUUGUAAACUCCUUUUGUUAGAGAAGAUAAUGACGGUAUCUAACGAAUAAGCACAGGCUAACUCCGUGCCAGCAGCCGCGGUAAUACGGAGGGUGCAAGCGUUACUCGGAAUCACUGGGCGUAAAGAGCGCGUAGGCGGGAUAGCAAGUCAGAUGUGAAAUCCUAGGGCUUAACCAUAGAACUGAGUUUGAAACUGGUAUUCUUGAGUAUGGGAGAGGUAGGUGGAAUGCUUGGUGUAGGGGUAAAAUCCGUAGAGAUCAAGAGGAAUACUCAUUGCGAAGGCGGCCUGCUGGAACAUAACUGACGCUGAGGCACGAAAGCGUGGGGAUCAAACAGGAUUAGAUACCCUAGUAGUC
RNAcentral lists this ribosomal RNA (440 nucleotides) under uncultured bacterium. Its description in RNAcentral is "partial 16S ribosomal RNA". It matches the Rfam family "Bacterial small subunit ribosomal RNA", at positions 338 to 795 of the family's 1533-position model. The record is from RNAcentral.